UACAGAGGGUGCAAGCGUUGUUCGGAAUUAUUGGGCGUAAAGGGCGCGUAGGCGGUGCGGUAAGUCUGUAGUGAAAUCUCUGGGCUCAACUCAGAGUCUGCUGCAGAAACUGCCGUGCUUGAGUGUGGGAGAGGUGAGUGGAAUUCCCAGUGUAGCGGUGAAAUGCGUAGAUAUUGGGAGGAACACCAGUGGCGAAGGCGGCUCACUGGACUGGUACUGACGCUGAGGCGCGAAAGCGUGGGGAGCAAACGGG
RNAcentral lists this ribosomal RNA (253 nucleotides) under uncultured bacterium. RNAcentral describes it as "partial 16S ribosomal RNA". It matches the Rfam family "Bacterial small subunit ribosomal RNA", at positions 524 to 776 of the family's 1533-position model. The record is from RNAcentral.